RNAcentral lists this long non-coding RNA (500 nucleotides) under Marmota monax (woodchuck). Lineage: Eukaryota; Metazoa; Chordata; Mammalia; Rodentia; Sciuridae. The record is from RNAcentral.
UUUCCCUGCCCUUUCAGACCACCGAGCUGCUCAUUGGGGGACUUUUUUGGCUCCGCCCACGUGACUCAAGAGCAGGAGGAUUGUGGGAGGUGGAGAGAAGCUUGUGUGGGAGAGAGAGGCUUGGGGAAAGCGGGUGGUGGCAGUUGAGGCUCUGAGGGUUUUUCCUGAGAGACUAUUUUGUUUGUCGUGUGUGGUUCUAAAAAUAAAGUUAGUUUCUUUUGACAAGUGGCUCCUGAUUGUGCCCAGCCAGACUGCGGCAUAUAAACCUGUAAAAACCAAAAGCACUCUGGAGUUCUCAGUAAGUUUUAAGAAUAUAAAAGGGUCUGUACCAAGGAUUGAACCCUGAGGUGCCUUACCACUGAGUCAAAUCCUCAGCCAUUUUUAUUUAUUUAUUUUUAUUUUGAGACAGGGUCUCACUAAGUUCCUGAGGCUAGUCUUAAACUUGCAAACCUCCUUCCUCAGUCUCCUGAGUUGCUAGGAUUACAGGUGUGUGCUGUAGA